This 995-nucleotide unclassified non-coding RNA is filed under the name Hevea brasiliensis (rubber tree). Lineage: Eukaryota; Viridiplantae; Streptophyta; Magnoliopsida; Malpighiales; Euphorbiaceae. The record is from RNAcentral.
AGAGAGCAUAGCGCGAGUUCACCACUCUUGUAGAUAUGAAGAUCAGCAGUUGAUCGCGUAGUCAUGAGAAGGGACGCAAAUUGACUUGCUGUGACAAAUAUCAAUGCCAACAAGAUAAAUAUACGGUACCUAUGGCUAAUGAUCCGCAAGUGCCUCCUGAUUCUAAGGUGCUCUCUCAACACUGUCUCAACAUCAGAAUCAAUAUGGAAGAUUUGAGCAAAAUCUCUCAAUCGGAGAAUCUGAAGGUAACAAAUCAAGCGAAACAGGACACACACUAGGAAAAACACGGUCGUUCUGUAAAGCCAUGAGCUCAGCUCUAGAAGGCACGCGACAACAUCACUCACAAUGACAUUGCCUAAAAAGGGGAUUUGAGUUCCACCUGAACUGUACCACCAAAUCUUAUAUAUGCUUUCAGCAGCGAAACAUGGCAGGACAAAAAUGAAUAGGAUCUUCAAUGAUCUAUUGAGCUCUUCCAUAUAGCAUUUCCUUACAGUCUCACUUUCAUCACAAAGCUUAUCAAGAAACAAGAACCUACGAAGCCCAAAUUUCUUCACAAAUCCAGUAAGACAAAUAAAAGAGAGAGCAGCAACACCACUAAGAGACAACUGAACAACAUUAUCAUAAGGUCUAUCAUGAUUAGCAUCACAAUCUGCACAAGCCAAUAAGAAAUGGGACAAACAUGGAACAACAAUUACAAAUAUUAUAAAAACAAACCAAGACAAAACAGUAGAUAAUGUAUCAGAUUGAUCCACACACAUCCACUUCAACCAUCUCCUAAAUACACGCAAUUCAUCGUAAGCAUGUGAUUUACUACGUGCAUAUAAUAUACUCUUCUUGUUCAGUAAAGAUUGGCUUUGGCUUUCGCCUUUACUUUCAUCCCCCAUUGAAAAAAAUCAAAUUUUUUUCUGGGUUUUUGAUGAAACUGUAGAAAGUUUAAAUCGUUUUUCUGGGUAUUUGAUGAAAAAUGGAAAAAGUUUCAAUCUUUUUUUCUGGGU